AUUGAACGCUGGCGGCAUGCCUUACACAUGCAAGUCGAACGGUAGAGUAGCAAUACUCGAGAGUGGCGAACGGGUGAGUAACAUAUCGGAACGUGCCCAAUCGUGGGGGAUAACGUAGAGAAAUUUACGCUAAUACCGCAUACGAUCUAAGGAUGAAAGCGGGGGAUCGCAAGACCUCGCGCGAUUGGAGCGGCUGAUAUCAGAUUAGGUUGUUGGUGAGGUAAAAGCUCACCAAGCCGACGAUCUGUAGCUGGUUUGAGAGAACGACCAGCCACACUGGGACUGAGACACGGCCCAGACUCCUACGGGAGGCAGCAGUGGGGAAUUUUUGGGACAAUGGGCGAAAGCCUGAUCCAGCAAUGCCGCGUGCAGGAAGAAGGCCUUC
Molecule: ribosomal RNA, 385 nt
Filed under: uncultured bacterium
Lineage: Bacteria
Description: bacterial SSU rRNA
Rfam family: Bacterial small subunit ribosomal RNA
Source: RNAcentral